RNAcentral lists this unclassified non-coding RNA (352 nucleotides) under soil metagenome. RNAcentral describes it as "partial contains 5.8S ribosomal RNA, internal transcribed spacer 2, and large subunit ribosomal RNA". The stretch from base 1 to 120 matches the Rfam family "5.8S ribosomal RNA", at positions 35 to 154 of the family's 154-position model. The record is from RNAcentral.
GAUGAAGAACGCAGCGAAAUGCGAUAAGUAAUGUGAAUUGCAGAAUUCAGUGAAUCAUCGAAUCUUUGAACGCACAUUGCGCCCGCCAGUAUUCUGGCGGGCAUGCCUGUUCGAGCGUCAUUACAACCCUCAGGCCCCCGGGCCUGGCGUUGGGGAUCGGCGGAGCCCCCCGUGGGCACGCGCCGUCCCCCAAAUGCAGUGGCGGUCCCGCCGCAGCUUCCAUCGCGUAGUAGCUAACACCUCGCGACUGGAGAGCGGCGCGGCCACGCCGUAAAACACCCAACUCUUCUGAAGUUGACCUCGAAUCAGGUAGGAAUACCCGCUGAACUUAAGCAUAUCAAUAAGCGGAGGA